RNAcentral lists this unclassified non-coding RNA (380 nucleotides) under uncultured Gemmatimonadaceae bacterium. RNAcentral's name for it is "contains 16S-23S intergenic spacer region". Lineage: Bacteria; Pseudomonadati; Gemmatimonadota; Gemmatimonadia; Gemmatimonadales; Gemmatimonadaceae. The record is from RNAcentral.
UCCGGCUUAUCACCGGCAGUCCUCCCAGAGUCCUCGGCUUGACCCGGUAGCAACUGGGAGCGGGGGUUGCGCUCGUUGCGGGACUUAACCCAACAUCUCACGACACGAGCUGACGACAGCCAUGCAGCACCUGUCUCGGAGCUCCGAAGAGGGGCGCUGGUUUCUCAGCGCUUUCCCCGAGAUGUCAAGCCCAGGUAAGGUUCUUCGCGUUGCGUCGAAUUAAACCACAUGCUCCACCGCUUGUGCGGGCCCCCGUCAAUUCCUUUGAGUUUCAGCCUUGCGGCCGUACUCCCCAGGCGGGGCACUUAAUGCGUUAGCGCCGGCACCCAGGGGGUCGCUCCCCCAGGCACCUAGUGCCCAUCGUUUACGGCGUGGACUAC